Uranotaenia lowii is the source of this 107-nucleotide small nuclear RNA. The record is from RefSeq and is a predicted model, not a curated record. NCBI's taxonomy places the organism in Eukaryota, Metazoa, Arthropoda, Insecta, Diptera, Culicidae.
GUCCUAGUUUUGGCUGGACAUAUACUUAUAUUGGAACGAUACAAAGUAGAUUAUCAUGGCCCCUGCACAAGGACGAUACGCAAAAUUGUGAACCAUUCCACAAAAAA